This 279-nucleotide unclassified non-coding RNA is filed under the name uncultured fungus. Its description in RNAcentral is "sequence contains ITS1, 5.8S rRNA gene". The stretch from base 231 to 279 matches the Rfam family "5.8S ribosomal RNA", at positions 1 to 49 of the family's 154-position model. The record is from RNAcentral. Lineage: Eukaryota; Fungi.
UUUCCGUAGGUGAACCUGCGGAAGGAUCAUUACACUCAGUAGAUCUCUACUGGUCGGGAGAGCGGAAAGCCCGCCGAAUAGCCUUCGGCAGCUGGCGCGCGAGUACGCUCUCUGUCUGCACCCUUGUCUUUUUGCGUACUCAUGUUUCCUCGGCGGGCUCGCCCGCCGUUUGGACACCUCAACCACCUUUUUGAAUUUUCAAUCAGCGUCUGAAUAACCUUAAUAAUUACAACUUUCAACAACGGAUCUCUUGGUUCUGGCAUCGAUGAAGAACGCAGC